UAAUACCGGAUAGAUCAAAGAUACUGGAAUGUUCCUUGAUCCAAAGCUCCGGCGUCCAAGGAUGGAUCUGCGGCUUAUCAGGUAGUAGUGGGUGUAACGUACCUACUAGCCUACGACGAGUACGGGUUGUGAGAGCAAGAGCCCGGAGAUGGAUUCUGAGACAUGAAUCCAGGCCCUACGGGGCGCAGCAGGCGCGAAAUCUUUACAAUGCAGGAAACUGCGAUAAGGGGACCCCGAGUGCCAGCAUCUAAUGCUGGCUGUCCAGCUGUGUAAAUAGCAGUUGUUAGCAAGGGCCGGGCAAGACCGGUGCCAGCCGCCGCGGUAACACCGGCGGCCCGAGUGGUAACCGAUUUUAUUGGGUUUAAAGGGUCCGUAGCCGGCCUGUUAAGUCUCUUGGGAAAUCUGGCGGCUCAAUCGUCAGGCGUUC
RNAcentral lists this ribosomal RNA (427 nucleotides) under uncultured archaeon. Its description in RNAcentral is "bacterial SSU rRNA". It matches the Rfam family "Archaeal small subunit ribosomal RNA", at positions 147 to 575 of the family's 1478-position model. The record is from RNAcentral.